ACCCGCCUCGACCGCGGCCUGGCCGCGGGGCGGUCCCUGAGGCGACGGCGGGCGGCCGCGAGGGAGGAGGGAGGCGGCGGGCGGCCGAGCCCCGCCGUGUGACCCCCCGCCCCGCCGCCGCCGCGCCCCUUCCCCGGGGGCCGCGCCGAUCCCGCCGUCCCUGCGCGGGGCCGCGCCUCCGCUGCCCGCCCCGCCUGAGGGGCUGCCCGCGCCGCGGCUGGGGGCAAGGCCUGGCGGCCGCCUCGCUGCAAGCACCGGCCGCCGCCCGCCCGCUGCCCUCGGCCCGCCCUUCCCCGCGGCUGCCGGGCUGCGGGCCCGCGGGGGCAGCGCAGCCGCCCGGCCCUGCCCGGUGGGCUGCGGGCCGGCGCGGGGGGCGGAGCUGGGGGUUCGCCUCAGGCCCCCGCUUGGGCCCGGGCCUGCGAACCGCCGCUCGCCCGGGUAGCUGCUGCCGUCGCAGGGGCACGGCCCUACGGGGGGCGCGGCGGGAGAGCCCUGGCCCUGCGGGGCCGGCUGGGGGCUGACCCGGGCCGAGCCGCCUUUCCCGGCUCCCCACCGAGGCCCGGCAGCCGCCGCGCUCCGGGCAGGAAGACCCCCGGCCACCGGAGCGCAGCCCUCGUCACCGGUCCCAGUGCCUGGCCGUUACCCAUCACGGUGCCUGGCUGUCACCCGUCACUAGUCACGGUGCCUGGCUGUCACCCAUCACCAGUCACGGUGCCUGACCAUCACCCAUCACCAGUCACGGUCCUGGCUGGCACCCAUGGGCUGGAGCCAGCUGGCAGGGCGCUUCUGUCUGGGCCCUGGAAAUGCCUAGAAAAAUAGAUGGCUCCAGAUUAUUCAGGAGGGAUUUGGGCCAGAGAAGGCGCAACACCUGGACUGGCUCCACGUCAGACAACCGGUGUCCAGCUGGGCUUUGCAGCGGAGACACACACCAUGUGUGAACAGAAUUGAUCUGAUUACAGGCAAAGGUAUGAGCGUGGCAGGAGGUUCUGUCUGAUCCUAUGUGGGUCCCACAAGGAGCACCACUAAAUUGGAACUAGUAAACCUUGAUGGACUCCAGCUUCAUUCCGUGAAUUCGGGUCUGCCAACACAGCGCUUCCCAUCCUGCCACAGUACGCCUGUGUUACCAGACAUUUUCUACCAUUAUGCACUGUGGUUCCCCUGUUACUUUGGGAAGUGAAUAGUGGAUUGCGUAGUCACCUUGUUACCCAGGAGCAUGCAGAAGCGAUCCUGCUGUGGUGCAGAAUACAACGCUAAAUACAAGCAUGCAUUCCUGGUACUGGGAAAGCACUGUUCACUCUAAUAGACUCUCAAGCACACUGCCACGAUUUGUUGUUUCCAUUAGAAAAGCAUCUAGUAAUCUGAAAAUGGAUCUAGAAACCAUUGUUCUAGAUACUACGCUUGACACAUAAUAAAAAGAAAGCUCAUGCCCUGCAGAGCUUGUAGCAAGAGUAGAUUAAGCGAGUUCUUAAGGAUACCCAUUGAGAGAGUUGUGCAGGUUUUUUCAGGUCUCAUAGACGUGUUGCACCAGCACAAACAAACCUGCCAGAACACUUUCUAAAAGCCAGUUCGCAGACAGGCAGGUCCAAACAGAAAGGCUGAAGCUUUAACCUACCUUGGAACUCUUUGCUGGUUUCUAACAAGCCCUCCCGAUUCUGAAUGACCUCUCAGUUCUCGACAGCAGCAAUGACCACAGCUCGCAGAAACACAGCAUCUCUCCUGACCAAGCCGACAGCAGGGUCAGCAGCAUGCAAAAAGGCGAUGGGUUUCACAGGCAGACACACGUACACACGGCGCACCGCCUCUCCGCACUACCUGUCUCGUCUUGUUUUAGCCGUUCCUGGCGAGCAGGCAGGGUACUGGAGCAUGCAGAAAUCUCGGGUUUUUUAAGCACCCUGAGAGUGGGCUCAUGUUUUUCAGUACUAGGUAGCCCAGAAGAAUGUGCCAAGGAGCAAGAACCAAACAGGCAGUGUAAUAGAUAGACACAGCUAUGGGUGUACCUCGGCUUCAUGCUUCUUGGGCUUCUCUGUGACCUGCAAGAAGCAAGAAACACCAGAAGAUGGGACUGAAACUGCCUCUUUCUUGCUCAUUCUUCAGUGCCAGAUCACAUCAGGAUAUAAGAUACCUGAGGACUACUUGCUGUUUGCAGACUGCUGGAAGACAGAGGCGUAAUCACCUAUUGGUGAGUGACAAACAGAAGAGGACCUGCAGCCACUUGCAUCAUGGAGGACCAGUGCAGGGCCAUUGCAUGCUUCCAGGUAACUUUUCAGGCAGGUGUUCACGAGUUCAGCGGCGAGGUGCAGUGACAGCAAAAUAAACUCAAUUCACAGACUCCUGUCAUCCUCCGGAUCUGUGGAUCGGUUCUGACUCCCUCCCAGCCUCAUUCAUUGCUUCUGAGGAUGAAGUCCUGAACAUCUGCUGUGGUCGAAACUAUUCUUACAUCAUCUUCUGAAUGCAGUGACUUCAAGCCCAUGAAACCAUGAUGUUAAUGCCAUAGUCAAGGCUUCAGCCAAAGCUCUUUCUGCAGACCUGGGCUGACUUUUUUGAAAAUGCCAUGGCAGUUGCUAGUUCUUCACCAACAGAGGAAUUACCAGAGUCGUGUAGCAUUAGGCUUAUCAUGCAAUACAAGAAAAUGGGAGAGUUUUCCAGCAGAGCAGCAGUCUGCUUGGGGGUGGCAGUACCAUAGUAUGAAUUCCUUACUGAAUCUCAGAUGAAUUUUGAUUUUUGUCUUGUUGUAUAAAAUGGGGAAGAAUAUCCUUGCUCUGUGUUAUCUACUUAGAAUAAUAAGCUGCUGGAGGCAAAUGUUUUACCAUGCGUGGUAUUAAUUUGGUAGUGUUAGCUGUAUUGACACCUUUCUGUGCAAAGAUUAAUAACAGUUAAAAAUCAAACCCAAAUGGGGCAAGCCUGAAGAUUAUCUAGGUGUGGACUCACAGCUGAAGUAAUUACUGUUCUUCUGCUUUCGAUAAGAGAUGUAUAACACUGUGGUAGUGAUAGCAUGGCUAAUGAAAACUGCACAGAAAUGGAAGUUAUCCAGGGAGAACGCAAAAUUUCAGGAGUUUAAUACACUCAGGGACUGAGUAAUUUCUGCCUUGCUGUACUGAAAGGACAUCUUAAACAAAAUUGUCACAUUUGGGAUGAUGCUACAGAAAUAGAUGACUGCUGUUGCACACUAGUUCUGAAGAAGCCAAGAGGCAAAAGAGGGGAGAUGUAGGCUAAUGCACACCCAUCAGUCUGACCCCCAACAGUAUGUAGUAUUUUAGAACAAAUUUUGACUACAAACAUCAUUAAAGAUAUGGGAAAAUGCGGCAGGAGCUUACCAAAGGUAGGUUAUACCAACCUCUGGUAAGAGGGACUGAUCUAGAUGAAAAAAAUACUACUAUUUGGGACUUUAGGACAACCUUCAUUACCGUGUCCUAAAGGAAAUGGAUAGUUCUGCUGGAAAAGGGAUUCUCACACAACAGAGAGGUGAUACAGGGCUGCUAAUGGGGACAAGAGAUCAUGCUGCAAGGGGAAAUACCAGGCUGAAAGACAGCUUGAAGUGAAGGCUUUUCUGGAAAAUACUCAUUUUAAUUUCUGUUAGUGCCAUUUGGAAAAGCCUGAAGCAUGCUGAUGACAUUUGCUAAUGAUUAAGGUGUAUCAUCGGAGGAAGAUGGUAAGAAGGGGGUGGGGCGGUAGGAAUAGAAUAAAAUGUAGUGGUACAGGAGUGCAGGGCCACGUAGUUACAAAACCUUUUACUACAGUGGGGACUUCCAUUCCACUUGCCUUUCCAACCAGGGAGGACAAAGAAAGAGAGGACCAAUUUGUAUGGCCUUGAUAAUGUGACUCCAGGAUAUACCAGCCAUUCACAGUACAGAAAGGAGAGUAUUUAUUCCACUGCACGACACAUCUGGAGUAAAUUAUACUGUUCUGGUCACCCAUCUUCAAGAAAGGAAAAAUGGAAAAGAAAAAACAUGAUGAUAAAAAGAAUUGCGAGCCUGUCUUUGAUGACAGGAGAUUUUGAGCUUGGCUUGUAUGACUUAGCAAAAUAAAUGUCAAGAGGAGAUGACAGCGAGCCCUAUAAAUACAUCAGGAAUGCAAACAUCAUAGGGGAAGUGUUAUUUUAAGCUGAAAAAUAAUUUGGCGAAAGAACAAGUAGGUAUAACUUGGCAAUAAAUAAUUUUAGCCCAUAAAUUAGGAGGUCUGUAAUCUUCAGAGUGAGGCUUUGGUCCGAUCUUUCAGGAGGAGGAGGAAGAGGGUGACAGUUAUCUAAAUGACUCUGGUGUGGUGGCCUGCAAUAGCAGAAAUCUGGUUCCUCUGGCUAGAAAGCCCCUGUGGUUUUAGGUUCCAGUGCAAUGGAAUUCCUACAUGUUAAUACUGUGGCAAAUGUUAAUAUUAAAUAUGAAUAAAGUGUCAACAGC
Long non-coding RNA from Falco peregrinus (peregrine falcon), 4394 nucleotides. RefSeq lists it as uncharacterized. The transcript is spliced from 3 exons. Lineage: Eukaryota; Metazoa; Chordata; Aves; Falconiformes; Falconidae. The record is from RefSeq and is a predicted model, not a curated record.